Podarcis lilfordi (Lilford's wall lizard) is the source of this 74-nucleotide non-coding RNA. The record is from the annotation of a GenBank genome assembly. NCBI's taxonomy places the organism in Eukaryota, Metazoa, Chordata, Lepidosauria, Squamata, Lacertidae.
AUCGCUUCUCGGCCUUUUGGCUAAGAUCAAGUGUAGAGAACACUGUCCAACCAUCUUGUCCUCUGUCAUCCUCU